halophilic archaeon J07HB67 is the source of this 75-nucleotide non-coding RNA. The record is from Rfam. Lineage: Archaea; Methanobacteriati; Methanobacteriota; Halobacteria; Halobacteriales.
GCUCCGGUGGUGUAGUCCGGCCAAUCAUAUUGCCCUCUCGAGGCGAUGACCUGGGUUCGAAUCCCGGCCGGAGCA